This is a long non-coding RNA of Beta vulgaris subsp. vulgaris (sugar beet), 1190 nucleotides long. RefSeq lists it as uncharacterized. The record is from RefSeq and is a predicted model, not a curated record. Lineage: Eukaryota; Viridiplantae; Streptophyta; Magnoliopsida; Caryophyllales; Amaranthaceae. The transcript has 2 exons.
UGGGCUUAUACAAUAGUUUCUGGUCAACAAUGGAAUUAUCAUGCUGGAGAAACAAUUGAAGCAACAAUCUAAUUGAUGGUGACUUCAUUUUUUCUUUUUCAAUUAUCGUAGGAGUCAGUAGAACUAGAAACUCUUUAAGAUAUUGAUGAUAUGUGAGGUUUGUAAUACUCCGUAUUUUUGGAGUUAUUUAUUUAUAAUUAAGAAAAUAUUAAGAGUAUAAUUGAAAGGUAUUUUAGUAUUAUUUACAAAAAAAUAAUAAUAGAAUAAUAAUAAUAUAGUUCGAUUUAGUUAAUUUCGGUAUUUAAAAGAUUAAAUCGAGUCCUACUAGACAUAGAGUUGCAACACUAUAAAUAGAGAGAAAUAGAAAAAAAAAUCAGAAAAAAAAUAUAAACCCUAAUUCUCUCACCUUCUUCAACCGUUUUUUUUCCUCCCUCAAAAAUUUUCUCUCUCCUCUCUUCUUCUCCCUCGUCACUCUUCUUCAUCCUCCUUCACACUAUCUCUUCUCCGCCGCCCUGAACUUGUGUCAUUCUUCGAGAGAUGUGCGAGAAUCCGAGCGGUUGAGCGGUUGAGUGCUAGGUGUGCGAUGCUGUGUGUGCGUGCGUGCGUGGUAUGUAGGAUCGCGAGGCUUCGUGUGCCGUGAUGUACGAGCCGGUGUGUGCUUGUUGUGCAAGGUACGCCGUCGAGACGAGCGAGAUUGUCGAGCGAGGGAGAUUCGUCGAGUCGUGAUGAGCGGGCCGACGUGUGUUGCGGUUGUGCGAGUGUUCGACGAAGUCGCGUUGUGCGACGAAUCCAGGUGUGGGCGAAGCAACGUCGCUGCUGUGGUGUGCAAGUCGCGCUUAGGGUCGUGUGCGAGUCGCGCGAGGGUCGGUGCGUGCAUGCGAGCAGUGCGAAGUGUGGAUGCGUGGUGAGCGAGGGCCGCCGGAAUUCGGUUGCCGGUGAUUUUCGCCGGCAAGUUUAGCGACUAGGUGUACUGGUGCUGCUGCAUGAUAUCGAGCAUACUGGGGAUAGUCAUUAGCAUUUGAACUUUAAAGCAUUUUGACUAAGUACUAUUAGAUUUCUACGAUUUACGUAAGUGGUUUGUGGUUUGAAUAAAAGGGGUCGUUGAUGAUUCCCAAGUUGUAGUUACAUUUUUAUUUCCGCUGCAUUUCAGUUUUCGAGACAAUGAUUUGAGUUAACGUUCUUUCUUAUUA